Molecule: ribosomal RNA, 506 nt
Filed under: uncultured bacterium
Lineage: Bacteria
Description: partial 16S ribosomal RNA
Rfam family: Bacterial small subunit ribosomal RNA
Source: RNAcentral
AUUGAACGCUGGCGGCAGGCCUAACACAUGCAAGUCGAACGGUAACAGAAAGCAGCUUGCUGCUUUGCUGACGAGUGGCGGACGGGUGAGUAAUGUCUGGGAAACUGCCUGAUGGAGGGGGAUAACUACUGGAAACGGUAGCUAAUACCGCAUAACGUCGCAAGACCAAAGAGGGGGACCUUCGGGCCUCUUGCCAUCGGAUGUGCCCAGAUGGGAUUAGCUAGUAGGUGGGGUAAUGGCUCACCUAGGCGACGAUCCCUAGCUGGUCUGAGAGGAUGACCAGCCACACUGGAACUGAGACACGGUCCAGACUCCUACGGGAGGCAGCAGUGGGGAAUAUUGCACAAUGGGCGCAAGCCUGAAGCAGCCAUGCCGCGUGUAUGAAGAAGGCCUUCGGGUUGUAAAGUACUUUCAGCGAGGAGGAAGGUGUUGUGGUUAAUAACCACAGCAAUUGACGUUACUCGCAGAAGAAGCACCGGCUAACUCCGUGUCAGCAGCAGCCGCGG